Molecule: long non-coding RNA, 610 nt
Organism: Otolemur garnettii (small-eared galago)
Lineage: Eukaryota; Metazoa; Chordata; Mammalia; Primates; Galagidae
Exons: 3
Source: RefSeq, a predicted model, not a curated record
GGCUGGCCGGAGGGCUGCGUGCUGGCCCUUGAAGGGAGGGAUCUGCCCCGCACCCGCCCGAGGUGCGGCCUCGCGGACGGCUACUCGUGCCGCGCCCUGGGGACGCUGCUCCUCGUGUGCCCAAGGCCCUGGGGACGCCCGGCCCGGGGCGGGGGCUGCGCUGCUGAGCCGCUCACGCCACACUCCAGGAGCCAGAGACAGUAGGAUGGACAUUGGGAUGUGCUGAUCUCCCCUCAAGAUAGCACUGCUUGCCAAGCCCCUGGAAAUUGCUGCCACAUCAGACCCAACCCCAUCCUGAGGAGCCCCCAGCCCAGCUGAGGAAACACAGAGAAAAGCCACCUGUGGAAUGGCAAGAUGGUGAAUAGGACGGGGAGCUAGACGGCGGGGUAGGGGACAACACACACAGAUGUCAGGCCCAGUGAGAGGGGCUGGUGCCUUGACCUUCACCACUGUGGGGCCAGCACUGGUGUCCCCUCCCGGAGACCAGCACAAGCUGGGCCUUCACUGUAGGUCCAUGUCUGUCUGCCAUGGAGCAAGGCUGUGUCUCCUGCCUGACCCCCACACUGGGUCAUCCUCCUCUUGGGGUUUUGAUGUGUUUCUCCGCCAUUGA